Molecule: long non-coding RNA, 1443 nt
Organism: Monodelphis domestica (gray short-tailed opossum)
Lineage: Eukaryota; Metazoa; Chordata; Mammalia; Didelphimorphia; Didelphidae
Source: Ensembl
UAUAAGCAGUUUCUUUCUCUUGUUUUGUGAGGACUCUACUGAUGAUUCAUCUCCACAACGCUUUGUCUACUAGGCCAUGGAAAUCUUUUCAACAUGGAAGCUCAUUUCUUCCCUGGACUACUCGUAUAUGCAGCCUCUGCCUCUGAAUGAUUAGCCUGCGUUUUGAUAUGAUAACCAGAUUCUGCUGGAGCCAGCUCUUACCAGCACAAGAGCUGGUUAUUAUAUCUUCAUGUCAAAUUAAUUUUAAAAAUGAAAGCAUGGGCAGUCAAGAUGGCAGCUUAGAAGCAACAAAAGUUCAUUCUUCUGUGAAAACCCUUCCACACAAAGCACUUCAACUGGGACAGAAAAUCAAAUCCAACAAGACAGAACUGUGGGACCCUCCUUCUCAAUUCAACUUAAAAGGCCUUGGACCUAGUGGAAACCUCGAAGAGUUCCUGAAAUGAGAAGAUGCUGAGUCAGUUCGGGGUGUCCAGUUUCCUAAACCCUCCCCACCUCUAGGAGGAGAGGACUUCCAGUAAGUUCGUGCUGAAGCAAAAAGGGCCACUCUUAGCUUGCUCUAGAUUUUCAGAAGUCCCACCAAGUAUUCCUAGGGAGAUGAUAAAGAUUGCGGUGAUGACGAGGGUGAGAAUGGAUUCCUUUGAUGCUUCCUGUAGUUGUUACUAUGCACUUUCAUGCAUCACUUCACUUGAGGGAAGAACAAAUAUGUAGCUGUCCUGAGCCUGGUAACUGCUAGGCCUUUUCUGCCUUGUUUUUAGCUAUUUUCCACUCCAGGGAGGAGCCCAACGAGCCAGGGAGAAGAAGGAAUCUGCGCCCUCCUCUGCUAUCAGGGCAGCUCCAGGAAAAGGACAAGGAGAGAAAGAGAAGUGAAGUGUGCACACUACGGUGACUGGCGACUGCUCUGGGGACACGGUUUGAAAAGCACUGAAGUGAGGAGCCAUCCAUGAUGUCCAUCCAUGAUUUCUCGGCCCUGCUCACUUUCCUGGGCAAUGAGGAUCUGAUGGGCAUUUAGGGCGCGUGGAAUCUCUUACACUCUCCCCCCGACAGUUCUACCUGGUGGCUAUUCCUGCUGAGGAGAAGCCCUGGAAGCACCUGCACUGCCUUUCGAAGUUCAGAGGGGAUCUCUCCGGGAGGAACACAUGACGACCACCCGGCGCCCCGGCCUCUGGCUGCUGUGAAAACUUCCCGAGAGUUGAGUCGCCACGUGCGCUGUGGCUAAGCGGGGUGGCCCUGCUCUCCGUCAGGGUUACAAUGAGAGAGGAAGGCGAUGCAACAAUUACAAAAAGCAGCGGCGGGCCUGCAAAGGGAGGCAGCAGCAGCCCCCGCCCCCUGCGUCCGGCGAUUGGCUGCUUUCUGCUCAUCAUUUCCCUGCUAGGAAAAGGGAAGGGCCAGUGACGUUCUGGAGCCCGGCUGCAGCUUCUGCCACCUCAGACGCACAAGGUGUUC